CCCAUUUUUCAAGGUUUGAUAGAUCUUUUUGCUGGAGACUCAUUUAUAUUAUUAGAUGUUUUAUAAAGUAAACAGUCGUCAGCAAAAAGACGAAACUUACAGAAGACAUGCUGAUGUAGGUCGUUUAUGAAUAACAAAAAUAAAGUUGGGCAUAACACUGUGCUCUGAUGAACACCAGAGUCAACAGCUAAUUUGGAAGAUUGCACACGUUAAUUAGGACUACCUGUAACUUGUUUCACAACAAACUUUUAUCCAAAGUAAAUUAUUUUUUACGUAUACCAUAGUGAUUAAGUUUUGUUAUUAAUCUUUCAUGAGGGACCUUAUCGAAAGCUUUAGAAAAAUCUAAAAGUGUUGAAUCAAUCUGUUUACCAUCUGCCAAAUAUUCGGCUAUGUCCUGUAUGUUGAUAACAAGUUGUGCUUCACAGGAACGUUUACUCCUAAAACCAUGUUGGCAAUCAUUUAAAAUAUUAUUUAAAUCUAAAUAUUUUCUAAUAUUGCUUGUUAAGACGUAUUCUAAUACCUUACAGCAAAUAUCCGUUAGCACAACUGGAUUUAUUUAAUUGCAUUAUGCUUAUCUCCCUUUUUAAAAAUUGGAACAACCUUUUCCUGCUUUCAUCCUUCUGGAAUUUUUCUAUCAUUUAUGAAUUUUUGAAAAAAGAAUCUAAGGAAGGGGGAUACUUCAUCCGAGAUUUUAUGAAGGAAAAUAGCAGCGAUAUUAUCAGGCCCACUGGCAUUAUGGUUGUUUUUAUUUUAAGGGUAUUAAUGAUGCCAUUGAUAUUAAUGGUUAUAUCUGGCAUGAUGGGGUAGGGACUUUUUGGUUUAUGUGGCAUUGAAGAUUCAUCUACCUUAGUAAAUGCACUUUAAAAUUGAAUAUUUAAAAUAUUUGAUUGUGGUUGUGGAUCACUAUAAAGUAAUCCAUCUUUAACUCUCAAGGGUGUGACUCCUGAUUUUUCCGUCUUUUCCCCUUUAAUAUAUUGCC
Molecule: long non-coding RNA, 979 nt
Filed under: Mytilus galloprovincialis (Mediterranean mussel)
Lineage: Eukaryota; Metazoa; Mollusca; Bivalvia; Mytilida; Mytilidae
Source: RNAcentral